GAACGGAAAUGACACGCUGAUGCGAUUUCGGUCAAAUCUUGUGGCAUUUCAGUGGCGGACGGGUGAGUAACGCGUGGGUAACCUGCCUUACACAGGGGGAUAACACCUGGAAACAGGUGCUAAUACCGCAUAAGCGCACAGGGCCGCAUGGCCCGGUGUGAAAAACUCCGGUGGUGUAAGAUGGACCCGCGUCUGAUUAGCUUGUUGGCGGGGUAGAGGCCCACCAAGGCGACGAUCAGUAGCCGGCCUGAGAGGGUGGACGGCCACAUUGGGACUGAGACACGGCCCAAACUCCUACGGGAGGCAGCAGUGGGGGAUAUUGGACAAUGGGGGAAACCCUGAUCCAGCGACGCCGCGUGAGUGAAGAAGUAUUUCGGUAUGUAAAGCUCUGUCAGCAGGGAAGAAAGAAAUGACGGUACCUGACCAAGAAGCCCCGGCUAACUACGUGCCAGCAGCCGCGGUAAUACGUAGGGGGCAAGCGUUAUCCGGAAUUACUGGGUGUAAAGGGAGCGUAGACGGUGAUGCAAGUCUGGAGUGAAAGGCGGGGGCCCAACCCCCGGACUGCUCUGGAAACUGUAUGACUUGAGUGCAGGAGAGGUAAGCGGAAUUCCUAGUGUAGCGGUGAAAUGCGUAGAUAUUAGGAGGAACACCAGUGGCGAAGGCGGCUUACUGGAC
Molecule: ribosomal RNA, 675 nt
Filed under: uncultured bacterium
Lineage: Bacteria
Description: bacterial SSU rRNA
Rfam family: Bacterial small subunit ribosomal RNA
Source: RNAcentral